UCCAGUUGAUCCUGCUGGCGGCUGCGGCUCUCUGGUUUGCACUUAGACAUGCAAGUCUUUCGAGAGAAGGCGAACUGCUCAGUAACACGUAGCUAAUCUACCCUUAAGUCAAGGAUAACCUCGGGAAACUGAGGAUAAUACUUGAUAGAAGAUAUACCCUGGAAAGAUUUAUCUUCCAAAUUCGAGCUUAAGGACGAGGCUGCGGCGGAUUAGGUUGUUGGCGGGAUAAUAGCCCACCAAGCCUGUGAUCCGUAAGGGCUCUUAGCGGAGAGGCCCUGAGAGGGAAUCUGAGACACUAUUCCCAGCCCUACGGGGUGCAGCAGGUAGGAAUCCUUUGCAAUGCGCGCAAGCGUGACAAAGCGAGCCAUAGUGCUUUUCAAUUGAAAAGCUUUUGCUAAAUCUAAAAAUUUUGGCGAAUAAGGACUGGGUAAGACUAGUGCCAGCCGCCGCGGUAAUCCUAGCGGUCCAAGUCGCAGCCAUCAUUAUUGGGUCUAAAACAUCCGUAGCUUGCUUAAUAAGUUCCCUGUGAAAUCUUAACUCUUAAGGUUAAGGCGUGCAAGGAGUACUGCUAAGCUAGAGACUGGAAGACGUAAGAAGUAUGCUCAAAGUAGCGGUAAAAUGUGUUAAUCUUGAGCAGACUCACAACAGCGAAGGCAUCUUACGAGGACAGUUCUGACAGUAAAGGAUGAAGGCUAGGGGCGCGAAGUGGAUUAGAUACCCAUGUAGUCCUAGCAGUAAACACUGCGCACUAAACAUCAGUACCUCCUCGAGAGGCAUUGGUGCUGAAGAGAAGUCGAAGAGUGCGCUACCUGGGAAGUAUAGCCGCAAGGCCGAAACUUAAAGGAAUUGGCGGGGAGACACUACAACAGGUGACGCGUGCGGUUCAAUUAGAUUCUACACCGUGAACCUCACCAGGAGCGACAGCAGAAUGAAGGUCAGUCUGAAGGGCUUACCUGACACGCUGAGAGGAGUUGCAUGGCCGACGUCAGCCUGUGCUGUGAAGUGACCUGUUAAAUCAGGUAACAGGCAAGACCCACAUGUAUAUUUACUAUGCGUACAAUAUACAGAUUGCCUUAGUAAUGAGGAUGAAAGUGUGGGCUACGUUAGGUGAGUACAGCCUGAAUCCCCUGGGCGACACGCGCGCGUCAACGGUAGAUACAGUGAGAUGCAACACCGAAAGGUGAAGCCAAUCCCAUAAAGUCUAUCUCAGUUCAGAUUGAGGUUUGCAACCCAACCUCAUGACGCCGGAAUCUGUAGUAAUCGUUUGUUAGCAGCGAACGGUGAAUAUGUCCCUGUCUCUUGCACACACUGCCCGUCAAACCAACCGAGUUUAGUUAUGAUGAAACUUUUCGAAGGAGAAUCUUAGCUAGACAAGGUAGGUU
RNAcentral lists this ribosomal RNA (1382 nucleotides) under metagenome. Its description in RNAcentral is "bacterial SSU rRNA". It matches the Rfam family "Archaeal small subunit ribosomal RNA". The record is from RNAcentral.